This 947-nucleotide ribosomal RNA is filed under the name uncultured marine group I thaumarchaeote. RNAcentral describes it as "bacterial SSU rRNA". It matches the Rfam family "Archaeal small subunit ribosomal RNA", at positions 452 to 1399 of the family's 1478-position model. Lineage: Archaea; Thermoproteati; Nitrososphaerota. The record is from RNAcentral.
CUGGUGUCAGCCGCCGCGGUAAAACCAGCACCUCAAGUGGUCAGGAUGAUUAUUGGGCCUAAAGCAUCCGUAGCCGGCUCUGUAAGUUUUCGGUUAAAUCUGUACGCUUAACGUACAGGCUGCCGGGAAUACUGCAGAGCUAGGGAGUGGGAGAGGUAGACGGUACUCGGUAGGAAGGGGUAAAAUCCUUUGAUCUAUUGAUGACCACCUGUGGCGAAGGCGGUCUACCAGAACACGUCCGACGGUGAGGGAUGAAAGCUGGGGGAGCAAACCGGAUUAGAUACCCGGGUAGUCCCAGCUGUAAACUAUGCAAACUCAGUGAUGCAUUGGCUUGUGGCCAAUGCAGUGCUGCAGGGAAGCCGUUAAGUUUGCCGCCUGGGAAGUACGUACGCAAGUAUGAAACUUAAAGGAAUUGGCGGGGGAGCACCACAAGGGGUGAAGCCUGCGGUUCAAUUGGAGUCAACGCCAGAAAUCUUACCCGGAGAGACAGCAGAAUGAAGGUCAAGCUGAAGACUUUACCAGACAAGCUGAGAGGUGGUGCAUGGCCGUCGCCAGCUCGUGCCGUGAGAUGUCCUGUUAAGUCAGGUAACGAGCGAGAUCCCUGCCCCUAGUUGCCACCAUUACUCUCAGGAGUAGUGGGGCGAAUUAGCGGGACCGCCGCAGUUAAUGCGGAGGAAGGAAGGGGCCACGGCAGGUCAGUAUGCCCCGAAACUCUGGGGCCACACGCGGGCUGCAAUGGUAACGACAAUGGGUUUCGAAUCCGAAAGGAUGAGGUAAUCCUCAAACGUUACCACAGUUAUGACUGAGGGCUGCAACUCGCCCUCACGAAUAUGGAAUCCCUAGUAACUGCGUGUCAUUAUCGCGCGGUGAAUACGUCCCUGCUCCUUGCACACACCGCCCGUCGUUUCAUUGAAGUGAGCUUUUAGCGAGGUGACGUCUGAUUGGCG